GCUGAAAGCAUCUAAGCAUGAAGCCCCCCUCAAGAUGAGAUUUCCCAUAGCGUAAGCUAGUAAGAUCCCUGAAAGAUGAUCAGGUUGAUAGGUUCGAGGUGGAAGCAUGGUGACAUGUGGAGCUGACGAAUACUAAUAGAUCGAGGACUUAACCAUAUAA
This 160-nucleotide ribosomal RNA is filed under the name Bacillus anthracis (anthrax bacterium). RNAcentral's name for it is "partial 23S ribosomal RNA". It matches the Rfam family "Bacterial large subunit ribosomal RNA", at positions 2770 to 2925 of the family's 2925-position model. The record is from RNAcentral. Lineage: Bacteria; Bacillati; Bacillota; Bacilli; Caryophanales; Bacillaceae.